RNAcentral lists this transfer RNA (69 nucleotides) under Marmota monax (woodchuck). Its description in RNAcentral is "tRNA.Ala". The record is from RNAcentral. Lineage: Eukaryota; Metazoa; Chordata; Mammalia; Rodentia; Sciuridae.
GGAUUGUGGCUCAGCGGUAGAGCGCUCGCCUAGCAUGUGCGGGGGCCCUGGGUUCCAUCCUCAGCACCA